UACGUAGGGUGCGAGCGUUAAUCGGAAUUACUGGGCGUAAAGCGUGCGCAGGCGAUUUUGUAAGCCAGAUGUGAAAGCCCCGGGCUCAACCUGGGAAUGGCAUUUGGGACUGCAAGGCUUGAGUGCGGCAGAGGAGACUGGAAUUCCUGGUGUAGCAGUGAAAUGCGUAGAUAUCAGGAGGAAUACCGAUGGCGAAGGCAGGUCUCUGGGCUGACACUGACGCUCAUGCACGAAAGCGUGGGGAGCAAACAGG
RNAcentral lists this ribosomal RNA (253 nucleotides) under uncultured bacterium. RNAcentral describes it as "partial 16S ribosomal RNA". It matches the Rfam family "Bacterial small subunit ribosomal RNA", at positions 524 to 776 of the family's 1533-position model. The record is from RNAcentral.